RNAcentral lists this ribosomal RNA (253 nucleotides) under uncultured bacterium. RNAcentral describes it as "partial 16S ribosomal RNA". It matches the Rfam family "Bacterial small subunit ribosomal RNA", at positions 524 to 776 of the family's 1533-position model. The record is from RNAcentral.
UACGUAGGGUGCGAGCGUUGUCCGGAAUUAUUGGGCGUAAAGAGCUUGUAGGCGGUCUGUCGCGUCUGCUGUGAAAAUCCGGGGCUCAACCCCGGACUUGCAGUGGGUACGGGCAGACUAGAGUGUGGUAGGGGAGACUGGAAUUCCUGGUGUAGCGGUGAAAUGCGCAGAUAUCAGGAGGAACACCGAUGGCGAAGGCAGGUCUCUGGGCCACUACUGACGCUGAGAAGCGAAAGCAUGGGGAGUGAACAGG